AUUCUAGAAGUUUUAAAAAUAUUAACUUGUGGCGUUAAAGAGGUGGCACCCACCUAGAAUA
This 61-nucleotide transfer RNA is filed under the name Eurytemora affinis. RNAcentral describes it as "tRNA-His". The record is from RNAcentral. Lineage: Eukaryota; Metazoa; Arthropoda; Copepoda; Calanoida; Temoridae.